UGGCGACCAUAGCGUUUUGGACCCACCUGACUCCAUUCCGAACUCAGAAGUGAAACGAAAUAG
RNAcentral lists this ribosomal RNA (63 nucleotides) under Vibrio parahaemolyticus VPTS-2010. The record is from RNAcentral. Lineage: Bacteria; Pseudomonadati; Pseudomonadota; Gammaproteobacteria; Vibrionales; Vibrionaceae.